RNAcentral lists this ribosomal RNA (293 nucleotides) under Escherichia coli. Its description in RNAcentral is "partial 16S ribosomal RNA". It matches the Rfam family "Bacterial small subunit ribosomal RNA", at positions 486 to 778 of the family's 1533-position model. Lineage: Bacteria; Pseudomonadati; Pseudomonadota; Gammaproteobacteria; Enterobacterales; Enterobacteriaceae. The record is from RNAcentral.
AGAAGCACCGGCUAACUCCGUGCCAGCAGCCGCGGUAAUACGGAGGGUGCAAGCGUUAAUCGGAAUUACUGGGCGUAAAGCGCACGCAGGCGGUUUGUUAAGUCAGAUGUGAAAUCCCCGGGCUCAACCUGGGAACUGCAUCUGAUACUGGCAAGCUUGAGUCUCGUAGAGGGGGGUAGAAUUCCAGGUGUAGCGGUGAAAUGCGUAGAGAUCUGGAGGAAUACCGGUGGCGAAGGCGGCCCCCUGGACGAAGACUGACGCUCAGGUGCGAAAGCGUGGGGAGCAAACAGGAU